CAAUGAUGGUUUUAUCUCCACCUCUGCCAUGUUGUUAGACCCAGUUUUAGCAGCAGAAGCCCCUGCAUCAACCUUCUCUUUCUUUUCUUUUCUUCUCUAUUGCUCACCUACAACUUGUGCAAAACUCAUUUUAUCUGUUUGAACUGCUGAAUCUGUAUGUCUACACCUGAUGCUUUUGCUUAUUCCAAAGAAAACCCAAACUCAGAGGUGCUAGAGUUUUUGCAAUUCAGUUUUUCUGAAAUGCUGUUUUACUUUUACUUCAGAUGUAAUGGGACACGCACCUUCCAAAACAUCUCAUCGGUCCACAGAGUUUUUUCCCAAAUGUUUUAAGCAUCAACAUGAUGUUUUCUGGCAGAGAUGAGCCUUCAUGUUCUUUCAGCUCAGCAGUGGAUUUUAUCCUGGAACUCUGCAUUACAGGCCAUCUUUGCCAAGUCUCCUUCUUAUAGUGGAGUCAUGAACUCUGACCUUAAAAAACGCAAGUGAGGCCUGCAGUUCUUUGGAUGUUUUUCUGGGGGUUUUUGUGACCUUCUUGGAUGAGUCAUUGCUACGCUCUUGGGGUAAUAUUAAUCAGCUUCACAUUCCUGAGAAGUUUCACCACUUCUCCAUGUUUUCAACAUUUGUGGACAAUGGCUCACUGUGAUUCGCUGGAGUCCCACAGCUUUAGAAAUGUCUUUAUACCAGACUUUAUUUUCCAGAUUCAGAGAUUCAAAGCAGAAACAUUUAAACACAUUGAGGAAGUUUGUCAACAGGAAGCUGAAGGCACAGUCUGUGCAAACUGACUGCAGGCACACAAGGUUCUGCAAGAAGAUUGCUUAAUCAUUUGGUCUGCCAUUAUUUCUAUUAGUGGCUCUUGUAUCAGAACCCAACAGAACACUGGACUGUAACAAGAUGAUGAGUGUUAUUCACUUAUUAAACAUAACUAUGUAUAUCUAUAACUCUGACUUAAAUACUACAGCUGUGGAGGUUGAGACCCACUUGAACUCCGAAAACUACCAAAAAAGAGCAGAAUAGUGGCUCCUUCCCAUUGUGGUCACUUCUUGGAGGAAUCCUCGGGAUGAUGUCACUCUCCUUGAUCAUCUUUGUUUGGAUCCUCUGACUCAGUGCAAGACAGAGGACAACAGCAGGAUUUGGUGUACGCACAGGUGAAAGUCAACAAGCCAGAAAACUGUUUAACACAGAGGAACUCUGAGGCGAAGAAAAUAUGAAUGUCUAAAAGGAGAUCACAUUACAGAAACGUGUUAACAAAGAAAAACACACGUGCUAACACAGCAGCCAGACCCAGAACUUCAGCAGGUAACAAAGUGAUGAGCAGCCUUUGUUUCUACAUGUACAAGUUUCUAAAGUAGCAUCCCUGUGGAGAUUACUUUGAAGUCUCUUUGGGCUGAUGUUCAUUUUUGCUGUUGUCGACUUUGUGUUCAUACAUACAAACUAAAAGAAAGAUUGUAUGUUUGUCGUCAUUAGAGCGACACACAUUGUGUGGGUGUGUGGGCCUGUAAUCUUUAAGUUUUUAUUGUUAACUGCUAAUUAUGUGACAGUGUCAGUUUUUGGAGUGACAGUGAUGUGAUGUAAUGAGUAGUGUAACAAUUUACUUUCUGCAGUGAGUAAUUAAGUAACAUAAAGUAUUACUUUUAAGAAGAGUAACUGGUAAUAUGUAAUACAUUAUUUUUCUUUAGUAACAAGC
This is a long non-coding RNA of Oreochromis aureus, 1681 nucleotides long. The record is from Ensembl. Lineage: Eukaryota; Metazoa; Chordata; Actinopteri; Cichliformes; Cichlidae.